UAUAGCUAUAUAAAACGAAAUAAAAAAUAAAUUUCUCGUAUAAAACAAAUGGAAAGUAUAAAAACAGUUAGAUCUGACAGACGCAAUUGGUAAAAAAAGAAAAAUGAAAUCCUAAAACAAGGGAUUAAUUACAUCGAUCAAUUAGAUGAUUCCAGGAAAUCGGGCAAACAUUACUUUCUCUUUGUAUGUAGCUUCGGCGAAUAGACUAAUUAGAAAAAUUCUGUAAUAAACCAGAAUACAGCUUCGGAUCACAAUUAUUUGUCUUUCUGAUGAAAAGUAAAGAAACGAAGAAAUCAACUUAAUUUUUGUCCUCGUUAAAACGAUCAUGCUACAAAGAGCAAUUCUAACGAAACGUCACUUUCUAUAGGGGAGAAAUUAAUGAUGUAACGUGACCCUGUUUACCCGUAGGAUGACUAAGAAUUCAUACCCAGGAAACAAUGUGUUCCUCGAAACGAUCAGGAACGAUACAGCUGGAACGGCUUUUGCAAGGCUAUAGAUGCACGUGUAACCCUGCACGUGAUUCAAAGCAACGAUAAAACUUGCAUGUUCCUCAAGUUUGUCAAGUUUCUCAAGACUUCUAUCACCGUAACUAGUAAGAAAUAGGAGACAAACAACAACUUGAUUUGGACUUAAAUCAAGUGUAGCGAAUGGAAAGAUGCGAAACUUCCAACGACUCAAAUAUUUCAGUUAUUUAAAGAAUAUUGAUGAGAAUACCAUAGGGUGCGAAAAAAGCAACGAGGCAAAUAGCUUGUUAAAGACAUGAUUUUGUUGCCUCCUUGAAGAAGCAAUUCCGUUUCUUAUGAGAUUGAAACACGCUACACCCUUGUCAAAUCGAGGGCCACUGUGGCCACUUUUUAUCUUCAGACCUCAAGGAGCCUCCUACACGUCGUUUUAUCUACUAUCGAGAUUUUGUCGGUGAACAAUGACCGUCUUUUAUUUAUUAAGGGUGGGCUCCUACACUUUAUGACGUAGAUUUAUGGUUCAUGAUGUAUAUCUACCGAAAUAAUUUUAUUUCUCCAUCGUUUUCAAUUAUGUUAACGAGAAGUGGAAAAGGUUGAAGAAGGUUGCACCGAUACAGGCGAAUCAUCGAGAUAGGCCGAGUCCGACUGGUGAACUUGACCUUCACCUCGUACCCGACUACCUUCGAUCGAAUCUCCAUGCUGGUGGGGCCGGGAAUUCUCCGAAAGAAGGUUAACAGAACCUUCUUCGUAGGCACGUGUAUGACGUCAGUGUAAUCAGAAGGACGAUUCGUGCAGGGUUAGCGUGACUGGUGGUUAGGCUUCUAUUCGCGACGAAGGUAGCGAAGGAGAAACGACGAUUCGCGUGUCAGCCAACCGAAAAUCGCUCUUCUCGACCCAACUCCUCUUCAAUGGCAAUUCCUCUUUCCUACCAAUCCACCAACCGAUCGAUUCCAACCGCCCACUAUUGAAACCAUCGUUCGACGAAUCCCGCGUGAGUCAUCUCGUUUCUACCCUCUUUCGAUGACCUUGCUAGAUAAACACCGUGCAUUGCGACACGAGGACUACUUUGGUACUAAUCACUGAUUUUCAUCGACAUUACAGCUCUUGAUUGCACGCGAACAGCCUUUCAUAAAAAAGACCCGAUACAGGAUCGAAAUACCCGAACAAGAUAAAGAAAAUCCUACAGAUCCGUAACAGAAUCGACAUACGCUUUUCUGUAUAACCAGUUUCUGACGCCACUACUUAACCAGGAUCAAUGGAUGGACUACACGAUACACAAGCUUCGUCACUGAAACGUGACAAAGCGUCUGAAAUCGCGUUGACCUACGUCACUGCGAAAUUAACGCAACGACAAGGUGGAAAAUGGAAAAUGGAAAAUUGUAUAAAUAUCCCGAGGCUGCACGCAAGACGAUGGAAAAAGAACCUUGUUCCUUCGGAAGUGCUGUGUUAGAGGCUUUUCAAAAAUAAACCUGCACCACGUGUAGCCUUGAUCCUGUGCACGCAAUGCCGCAUACACAUGUGACACAUGAGGAUAAGAACGGGACACACGCACGUGUACGUAAGUAUGUACGUACGUACAUACGACUAUCCUGCAUAGGCUGCAUACCGGCAGUGCAUAAUAUUAUAAGUCGAUUUAUGGACGAGGGGAAGCUUUGUAGAUUUAUGACCGGAUUCGCGAAUUUCUACCGUUACGUCAUGUACUCUGUAGAUGCUAUUUACAAAUCUCUCUUGUAUUACUGAAAUUCACCUAAAAUCCCUACUGUCAUUUCAAAUAAAGACCCACUAUUUUAAUAUACGUAUACACAAGUUUCAAUUCCAGCUAAAUCCAGCUACGUCCUACGCGUUCUUCGGUGCAACUAUGUGGCCGAAAAGCUGUCUUAAGGUGAACGGAACUAGCUCUAUGAUUCCCAUGUGUCUAUGAGGAAAACGUUAAGUAUGAGAGAGAUAGAGUGAAAUUGAGGGGAAUACGGAGGUGGAGUAAAGUCAUAAAAGUAGGGCAGUAGUGCGGUAGAGCAAUCAAUAGAGGCCGGAUCAUGGUGGGGGAUCGGGGCAUUAAGCCACCGUCGAAUUUUGGCUCCCCAGGAGAACGGAUUUUCCUCUCUAGCUUCUCAACAGAAAAAUCAAUUCUCAAUCACUUCAUUUA
Long non-coding RNA from Osmia lignaria (orchard mason bee), 2604 nucleotides. RefSeq lists it as uncharacterized. The record is from RefSeq and is a predicted model, not a curated record. Lineage: Eukaryota; Metazoa; Arthropoda; Insecta; Hymenoptera; Megachilidae.